Molecule: ribosomal RNA, 1038 nt
Filed under: Farasanispora avicenniae
Lineage: Eukaryota; Fungi; Ascomycota; Dothideomycetes; Pleosporales
Description: SSU rRNA
Rfam family: Eukaryotic small subunit ribosomal RNA
Source: RNAcentral
CGAGCUGCGGCCAGUAAAGAGUAUUAUACCGUGAAACUGCGAAUGGCUCAUUAAAUCAGUUAUCGUUUAUUUGAUAGUACCUUACUACUUGGAUAACCGUGGUAAUUCUAGAGCUAAUACAUGCUGAAAACCCCGACUUCGGAAGGGGUGUAUUUAUUAGAUAAAAAACCAAUGCCCUUCGGGGCUCUUUGGUGAGUCAUGAUAACUUCUCGGAUCGCAUGGCCUUGCGCCGGCGACGGUUCAUUCAAAUUUCUGCCCUAUCAACUUUCGAUGGUAAGGUCUUGGCUUACCAUGGUUUCAACGGGUAACGGGGAAUUAGGGUUCGAUUCCGGAGAGGGAGCCUGAGAAACGGCUACCACAUCCAAGGAAGGCAGCAGGCGCGCAAAUUACCCAAUCCCGACACGGGGAGGUAGUGACAAUAAAUACUGAUACAGGGCUCUUUUGGGUCUUGUAAUUGGAAUGAGUACAAUUUAAACCUCUUAACGAGGAACAAUUGGAGGGCAAGUCUGGUGCCAGCAGCCGCGGUAAUUCCAGCUCCAAUAGCGUAUAUUAAAGUUGUUGCAGUUAAAAAGCUCGUAGUUGAACCUUGGGCCUGGCUGGCGGGUCCGCCUCACCGCGUGUACUCGACCGGCCGGGCCUUUCCUUCUGGAGAACCUCAUGCCCUUCACUGGGUGUGCUGGGGAACCAGGACUUUUACUGUGAAAAAAUUAGAGUGUUCAAAGCAGGCCUUUGCUCGAAUACGUUAGCAUGGAAUAAUAGAAUAGGACGUGCGGUCCUAUUUUGUUGGUUUCUAGGACCGCCGUAAUGAUUAAUAGGGACAGUCGGGGGCAUCAGUAUUCAAUUGUCAGAGGUGAAAUUCUUGGAUUUAUUGAAGACUAACUACUGCGAAAGCAUUUGCCAAGGAUGUUUUCAUUAAUCAGUGAACGAAAGUUAGGGGAUCGAAGACGAUCAGAUACCGUCGUAGUCUUAACCGUAAACUAUGCCGACUAGGGAUCGGGCGUUGUUUAUACCUUGACACGCUCGGCACCUUACGAGAAA